AUGCCCCCCCCCUCCAGAAGCUACUACCAUAGCGCAGCAACUGAAGAGUUGGCAGGAAAGGAUCAAAGAUCCUAAAGUCACAAUCUGUUGUUUGCCCGGUUUGCAGCUCCGGGGGUUCGGUCACUUGUCUCGUCGGGUUUUCACCCCAGGAUUUGUUGUCCUGAGCGUGGAGCGGCCGUUAUACAGGAAACAAAGCCUGUACCGGUUUCUCACCCCAAGUCCACAAGUGGCCCACCUCACGGCCCUGGAGGCUCCCUUACGGGAGCACAGGUUUCACCGCUGCCAGCACAGUCUAUUUAUAAUUAAUCGCCACUGUGCACUGCGAUGGGACCAGGACAGGGUUCCCCAACCCUGUUUUUUCACAAUUCUUCCUUGGCAGGAAAGAACGGCGUCCUA
This 396-nucleotide non-coding RNA is filed under the name Botryosphaeria dothidea. The record is from RNAcentral. Lineage: Eukaryota; Fungi; Ascomycota; Dothideomycetes; Botryosphaeriales; Botryosphaeriaceae.